CAAAGUUACCUCUACCAAAAUACAAGUAUUCCCUAUAAGAAAAAAUGUAGGGAACUUGUUCCAAAAUCCAGUUGAAAGUACGAAAUAUUUGUGCUUUUGCAAGCCCAUAUUCUCAUAUUACAUUGAUAUGUAGUGCUGCGCGAGAAUCGAUAAUACAAACCGAUUUUUCGCGAGCAAAGACUCCCCGAAUAUAGUUGAAAA
Paramuricea clavata is the source of this 201-nucleotide non-coding RNA. Lineage: Eukaryota; Metazoa; Cnidaria; Anthozoa; Malacalcyonacea; Plexauridae. The record is from the annotation of a GenBank genome assembly.